UACGUAGGAUGCGAGCGUUAUCCGGAUUUAUUGGGUUUAAAGGGUGCGUAGGCGGACUGUCAAGUCAGCGGUAAAAUUGAGAGGCUCAACCUCUUCCCGCCGUUGAAACUGGUGGUCUUGAGUGGAUGAGAAGUACGCGGAAUGCGUGGUGUAGCGGUGAAAUGCAUAGAUAUCACACAGAACACCGAUUGCGAAGGCAUCUCACGAAUCCGCGAUUGACGCUGAUGCACGAAAGCGUGGGUAUCAAACAGG
RNAcentral lists this ribosomal RNA (252 nucleotides) under uncultured bacterium. RNAcentral describes it as "partial 16S ribosomal RNA". It matches the Rfam family "Bacterial small subunit ribosomal RNA", at positions 524 to 776 of the family's 1533-position model. The record is from RNAcentral.